GAAUUGACGGGGGCCCGCACAAGCGGUGGAGCAUGUGGUUUAAUUCGAAUCAACGCGAAGAACCUUACCAGGUCUUGACAUCUUUUGCCAAUCCUAGAGAUAGGACUUUCCCUUCGGGGACAAAAUGACAGGUGGUGCAUGGUUGUCGUCAGCUCGUGUCGUGAGAUGUUGGGUUAAGUCCCGCAACGAGCGCAACCCUUGUUGUUAGUUGCCAGCAUUAAGUUGGGCACUCUAGCGAGACUGCCGGUGACAAACCGGAGGAAGGUGGGGACGACGUCAAAUCAUCAUGCCCCUUAUGACCUGGGCUACACACGUGCUACAAUGGUUGGUACAACGAGUCGCAAGACCGCGAGGUUUAGCAAAUCUCUUAAAGCCGUUCUCAGUUCGGAUCGCAGUCUGCAACUCGACUGCGUGAAGCUGGAAUCGCUAGUAAUCGCGGAUCAGCAUGCCGCGGUGAAUACGUUCCCGGGCCUUGUACACACCGCCCGUCACACCAUGAGAGUUUGUAACACCCGAAGUCGGUGAGGUAACCUUUUGGAGCCAGCCGCCGAAGGUGGGACAGAUGAUUGGGGUGAAGUCGUAACAAGGUAGCCGUAUCGGAAGGUGCGGCUGGAUCACCUCCUUUCUAAGGA
Molecule: ribosomal RNA, 632 nt
Filed under: Streptococcus pyogenes
Lineage: Bacteria; Bacillati; Bacillota; Bacilli; Lactobacillales; Streptococcaceae
Description: bacterial SSU rRNA
Rfam family: Bacterial small subunit ribosomal RNA
Source: RNAcentral